UCCUACGGGGGGCAGCAGUGGGGAAUAUUGCACAAUGGGGGAAACCCUGAUGCAGCGACGCCGCGUGAGUGAAGAAGUAUUUCGGUAUGUAAAGCUCUAUCAGCAGGGAAGAAAAUGACGGUACCUGACUAAGAAGCCCCGGCUAACUACGUGCCAGCAGCCGCGGUAAUACGUAGGGGGCAAGCGUUAUCCGGAUUUACUGGGUGUAAAGGGAGCGUAUACGGCAUGGCAAGUCAGAUGUGAAAGCCCGUGGCUCAACCCCGGGACUGCAUUUGAAACUGUCAGGC
RNAcentral lists this ribosomal RNA (287 nucleotides) under uncultured bacterium. Its description in RNAcentral is "partial 16S ribosomal RNA". It matches the Rfam family "Bacterial small subunit ribosomal RNA", at positions 337 to 641 of the family's 1533-position model. The record is from RNAcentral.